RNAcentral lists this ribosomal RNA (567 nucleotides) under uncultured bacterium. Its description in RNAcentral is "bacterial SSU rRNA". It matches the Rfam family "Bacterial small subunit ribosomal RNA", at positions 338 to 916 of the family's 1533-position model. The record is from RNAcentral.
CCUACGGGAGGCAGCAGUGGGGAAUACUGGGCAAUGGAGGAAACUCUGACCCAGCGACGCCGCGUGCGGGAUGAAGGCCUUCGGGUUGUAAACCGCUUUCAGUAGGGAAGAAGCGAAAGUGACGGUACCUACAAAAGAAGCACCGGCUAACUAUGUGCCAGCAGCCGCGGUAAUACAUAGGGUGCAAGCGUUGUCCGGAAUUAUUGGGCGUAAAGAGCUCGUAGGUCGUUUGUUACGUCGGAUGUGAAAACCUGAGGCUCAACCUCAGGCCUGCAUUCGAUACGGGCAAACUAGAGUUUGGUAGGGGAGACUGGAAUUCCUGGUGUAGCGGUGGAAUGCGCAGAUAUCAGGAGGAACACCAAUGGCGAAGGCAGGUCUCUGGGCCAAUACUGACACUGAGGAGCGAAAGUCUGGGGAGCGAACAGGAUUAGAUACCCUGGUAGUCCAGACCGUAAACGGUGGGCACUAGUUGUGGGAACCUUCCACGGUUUCUGCGACGCAGCUAACGCAUUGAGUGCCCCGCCUGGGGAGUACGAUCGCAAGAUUAAAACUCAAAUGAAUUGACGG